AGAAACACAUCGCGGCUCAAGAUGCUGUCCGGCCUUUUGAUUAUUGUCAUUAAGAGACUCAAAGAGCUCGAAAUUUUCCACCAAAAGCGAUCAGCUGACACAACAUACUACUGCAACGGAUUAACCUCUAAGAUCUACUAAGCUGACUUCACAGGCUUGAAAUGAGGCACAUAAAGCACUCGGACAUGAGAGCAUAUAAGCUACAAAGCCCUAUAUACAAAGGUCGGGCUUCUAAUCAUCCAUUAGAGAGCAUAAGCUACAAAGCCUAUGCACUCGGUUCUCCCAUUGUAACUUGGUUACUCAAAAUCUCGAGAUCAGGUGCACACGGUUCUCCCAUUGUAACUUGGUUACUCAAAAUCUCAAGAUCAGGUGCACUCGGUUCUCCCAUUGUAACUUGGUUACUCAAACCCUUGAGAUCAGGCUUGACAGCUAAUGAUUUCUGCAUCAAUGUUAGGCCCUCGAACAUCACCAAGGGGUGUGCCUCUAGCAGUGACGACUUCUGGC
This 504-nucleotide long non-coding RNA is filed under the name Triticum aestivum (bread wheat). RNAcentral's name for it is "long non-coding RNA (TAES_LNC003438)". Lineage: Eukaryota; Viridiplantae; Streptophyta; Magnoliopsida; Poales; Poaceae. The record is from RNAcentral.